ACACCUCCUCUCCUCCUACAGAAGCAGUGGAAUCUCUUUUUAAGUCACAGGUCUCAACACACACUGACAACAUGCUGGCGACUCUCUGUGCUCUCAUCACUGCUCUAACAUGUGUGAGUGGUGUGACGGUGCUGACACAGAAACCUCCUGUUGUAUCAGUGAGGAAAGGAGAGACAGCCACCAUGGACUGUAACCUGGGGACUGCUGAUUACUAUGUCUUUUGGUAUAAACAGAUUUCAGGAGGAGUUCCUCAGUUUGUGCUGUGGUUUCGUUAUGACUAUAGUGGUCCAACCUAUGGCUCUGGGUUCUCUGCUCCAAAAUUCACAUCCACUCAUCAGUCAACAUCAGAUUAUCAUUUGAUCAUCAGCAAUGUGGAGGAGGGAGACUCUGCAGUCUAUUACUGUCAGACAUGGGACAGCUCUGUGAAUGAGUACGCAUCACAGUGAUUUACACUGUGACAAAAACCUCCCCACUGAUACUUCUGCUUUUUGAUGCUCUUUUUUUCACAUGCUGACAAAAGACCCAUUCAACAAACUCAGUGUAAACUCACCACCUUCAGAUAGUGUGUUUAUUGUUAUGUUUUAUUUAUUUUAAUGUUCAUCAAUG
Oreochromis aureus is the source of this 606-nucleotide non-coding RNA. NCBI's taxonomy places the organism in Eukaryota, Metazoa, Chordata, Actinopteri, Cichliformes, Cichlidae. The record is from the annotation of a RefSeq genome assembly.